Acanthosepion pharaonis is the source of this 112-nucleotide non-coding RNA. The record is from the annotation of a GenBank genome assembly. NCBI's taxonomy places the organism in Eukaryota, Metazoa, Mollusca, Cephalopoda, Sepiida, Sepiidae.
UUACGGCCAUGUCACGUAGAAACACCGGUUCUCGUACGAUCACAGAAGUUAAGCAACGUCAAGCCUGGUCAGUACCUAGAUGGGUAACCGCUUGGGAAUACCAGGUACUGAA